GCUGGCAGCUAGCUCUCUGCAACUCUCACGUAGUUGCCCAAUGAACCUAAGCAGGAUUGUGCCUGGAUAGUACCUGGAUGGGAGACCACAUGGGAAAGCAAGGUUUCUGCUAGAA
This 115-nucleotide ribosomal RNA is filed under the name Danio rerio (zebrafish). The record is from RNAcentral. Lineage: Eukaryota; Metazoa; Chordata; Actinopteri; Cypriniformes; Danionidae.